GAUGAACGCCGGCGGUGUGCCUAAUACAUGCAAGUCGUACGCACUGGCCCAACUGAUUGAUGGUGCUUGCACCUGAUUGACGAUGGAUCACCAGUGAGUGGCGGACGGGUGAGUAACACGUAGGUAACCUGCCCCGGAGCGGGGGAUAACAUUUGGAAACAGAUGCUAAUACCGCAUAACAACAAAAGCCRCAUGGCUUUUGUUUGAAAGAUGGCUUUGGCUAUCACUCUGGGAUGGACCUGCGGUGCAUUAGCUAGUUGGUAAGGUAACGGCUUACCAAGGCGAUGAUGCAUAGCCGAGUUGAGAGACUGAUCGGCCACAAUGGAACUGAGACACGGUCCAUACUCCUACGGGAGGCAGCAGUAGGGAAUCUUCCACAAUGGGCGCAAGCCUGAUGGAGCAACACCGCGUGAGUGAAGAAGGGUUUCGGCUCGUAAAGCUCUGUUGUUGGAGAAGAACGUGCGUGAGAGUAACUGUUCACGCAGUGACGGUAUCCAACCAGAAAGUCACGGCUAACUACGUGCCAGCAGCCGCGGUAAUACGUAGGUGGCAAGCGUUAUCCGGAUUUAUUGGGCGUAAAGCGAGCGCAGGCGGUUGCUUAGGUCUGAUGUGAAAGCCUUCGGCUUAACCGAAGAAGUGCAUCGGAAACCGGGCGACUUGAGUGCAGAAGAGGACAGUGGAACUCCAUGUGUAGCGGUGGAAUGCGUAGAUAUAUGGAAGAACACCAGUGGCGAAGGCGGCUGUCUGGUCUGCAACUGACGCUGAGGCUCGAAAGCAUGGGUAGCGAACAGGAUUAGAUACCCUGGUAGUCCAUGCCGUAAACGAUGAGUGCUAGGUGUUGGAGGGUUUCCGCCCUUCAGUGCCGGAGCUAACGCAUUAAGCACUCCGCCUGGGGAGUACGACCGCAAGGUUGAAACUCAAAGGAAUUGACGGGGGCCCGCACAAGCGGUGGAGCAUGUGGUUUAAUUCGAAGCUACGCGAAGAACCUUACCAGGUCUUGACAUCUUGCGCUAACCUUAGAGAUAAGGCGUUCCCUUCGGGGACGCAAUGACAGGUGGUGCAUGGUCGUCGUCAGCUCGUGUCGUGAGAUGUUGGGUUAAGUCCCGCAACGAGCGCAACCCUUGUUACUAGUUGCCAGCAUURAGUUGGGCACUCUAGUGAGACUGCCGGUGACAAACCGGAGGAAGGUGGGGACGACGUCAGAUCAUCAUGCCCCUUAUGACCUGGGCUACACACGUGCUACAAUGGACGGUACAACGAGUCGCAAACUCGCGAGAGUAAGCUAAUCUCUUAAAGCCGUUCUCAGUUCGGACUGUAGGCUGCAACUCGCCUACACGAAGUCGGAAUCGCUAGUAAUCGCGGAUCAGCAUGCCGCGGUGAAUACGUUCCCGGGCCUUGUACACACCGCCCGUCACACCAUGGGAGUUUGUAACGCCCAAAGU
Molecule: ribosomal RNA, 1442 nt
Filed under: Limosilactobacillus reuteri
Lineage: Bacteria; Bacillati; Bacillota; Bacilli; Lactobacillales; Lactobacillaceae
Description: bacterial SSU rRNA
Rfam family: Bacterial small subunit ribosomal RNA
Source: RNAcentral